RNAcentral lists this ribosomal RNA (361 nucleotides) under uncultured soil bacterium. RNAcentral describes it as "bacterial SSU rRNA". It matches the Rfam family "Bacterial small subunit ribosomal RNA", at positions 26 to 399 of the family's 1533-position model. The record is from RNAcentral.
AGCCUGAACGCUGGCGGCGUGGCUAAGACAUGCAAGUCGUACGGACCCGCAAGGGUCAGUGGCGAACGGGUGAGUAAUGAAUCGCUAAUGUGCCCCCGGACUCAGGGAUAGCUACUCGAAAGGGUAGGUAAUACCUGAUGACAUAACCUUGUCGCAUGGCAGGGUUCUCAAAGGUCCGCCGGUCUGGGAGCAGGCGAUUUCGUAUCAGCUAGUGGUGAGGUAACGGCUCACCAAGGCGACGACGCGUAGCCGGACUGAGAGGUUGGCCGGCACAGUUGGACUGAGACACUGCCCAGACCUCCGUACGGGGGCUGCAGUAACGAAUCUCCGCAAUGACACGAAGUGUGACGGAGCGACGCCG